CAGCAGCCGCGGGAAUACGUAGGGUGCAAGCGUUAAUCGGAAUUACUGGGCGUAAAGCGUGCGCAGGCGGUUAUAUAAGACAGAUGUGAAAUCCCCGGGCUCAACCUGGGAACUGCAUUUGUGACUGUAUAGCUAGAGUACGGCAGAGGGGGAUGGAAUUCCGCGUGUAGCAGUGAAAUGCGUAGAUAUGCGGAGGAACACCAAUGGCGAAGGCAAUCCCCUGGGCCUGUACUGACGCUCAUGCACGAAAGCGUGGGGAGCAAACAGGAUUAGAUACCCGCGUAGUCCCUGUCUCUUAUAA
RNAcentral lists this ribosomal RNA (301 nucleotides) under uncultured bacterium. RNAcentral's name for it is "partial 16S ribosomal RNA". It matches the Rfam family "Bacterial small subunit ribosomal RNA", at positions 509 to 809 of the family's 1533-position model. The record is from RNAcentral.